Molecule: transfer RNA, 65 nt
Filed under: Dipseudopsis sp. XG-2021
Lineage: Eukaryota; Metazoa; Arthropoda; Insecta; Trichoptera; Dipseudopsidae
Description: tRNA-Cys
Source: RNAcentral
AGUCUUAUAGUCAAUCAUGAUUUUAGAUUGCAAAUUUAAAGGUUUAUUAGUUUAGUUUAAGACUU